CUCACAUUGGAGGAUGUGCAAAGAAACAAGCUGCAAGAGAGAACAAGGACCAGGGGGCUGCCGGGAAGGUAAGCAAAACGUUUAAAAAAUGCCCCUUGGACGUCUGCGGCCUCCAUUUUAAUUGCAGCGAGGACGGGAGAAUGAGGACCAGGGGGCUGCUGGGAAGCCUUUUGCGGUGAUUCAGCAGCAUUGGAACAGUAGCAAGAGUGGUCUGUUCGUGGAAUAGCAGCAGCCUCCUGGCAGUCGGAGGUGGCGGGGGAAUUGGAGGCAGAGACCUCCCAGCCUCCUCUUAGCGAUUGCAGGAGGUGGCAGCAUGGCGUCGGCAGCAGGAGCCGGCCAUUGCAGAGUCAGCGGUCGCAAUUCCUCCCAGGCUUCUACCAGCACAACAUUGGCAGUGGGAAUGGGCAUUUCGUGUAAUGGCAGCAGCUUCUCAGUGGUCCCUGCAAUUGGGUGCAGUGGCGUCAGCAGCAGCAAUGACAUGGCUCCUUCCAGCAAUCAAGGCGAGACGUACACACUGACCUCGACUCCAGGUCAUGGCUAGGCUCAGAUGCCUGCAUCUGAGCUGAGCGUUCCAAACACCUUUAUAGAGAUAAGAUUUUAGUCUUUAAGAUAUGGACAUUUUCUUACCUUUGGCUGUUUUUCUUUAGUUUUUCUGUUUUAUUUUCAUUCUA
This is a non-coding RNA of Chiloscyllium plagiosum (whitespotted bambooshark), 671 nucleotides long. NCBI's taxonomy places the organism in Eukaryota, Metazoa, Chordata, Chondrichthyes, Orectolobiformes, Hemiscylliidae. The record is from RefSeq and is a predicted model, not a curated record.